Molecule: long non-coding RNA, 207 nt
Organism: Perognathus longimembris pacificus (Pacific pocket mouse)
Lineage: Eukaryota; Metazoa; Chordata; Mammalia; Rodentia; Heteromyidae
Exons: 3
Source: RefSeq, a predicted model, not a curated record
GGAGAGCUCGGCGGACUGGGACGGGCGGGACGCCCCUGCGGGCGCCGACAGGCUGCACGGGGAGCCGGAGUCCGCAGAGGGGAGGCCGGUCGUCGGCGCCCCCGCGCCGGCCUCGAGGAGCUCCUGGAGCCGCCGGUGGAGCUGGCCCUGACGCCCGCCGGCGAUCCGCCUUCCCCGCCCGCCGGGAAAUAAAGGCCGUGAUUUCCA